ACGCACAUUGCGGCCCUAG
Molecule: ribosomal RNA, 19 nt
Filed under: Frankliniella occidentalis (western flower thrips)
Lineage: Eukaryota; Metazoa; Arthropoda; Insecta; Thysanoptera; Thripidae
Description: partial 5.8S ribosomal RNA
Source: RNAcentral